GAAAGAGCGAAGAACGGCAAACGAGAGAGAGAGGACAUCCUGUCUGCUGGUGCCUCUGCCUCCGUUUGACAGAGCUAGCGAAAGAGAGCGAGGAGAGCAAGAAGCAAGGGGGAGGGAGACAGAGGAUGUGGUGUGUAAAGGGAGGAGCGGGGUGGUGGUGGGGGGGCUGCCUUUCGUUCUGAAGGGAAUGCAAUAGAAGCAGCAAAAGGGCGAGCGAGAGAGGCAAGGAGAGCAAGCGAAUCGACCUGCUCCUUUCGGCUGCCAGGUGGAGUUGGGAACGGCAGCCUGACCACGGAGGGAGGAGAGGUUCCCGCACGAGGGCAGGAAAAGGAGGAUAAUAAUCCGCUAAGAGAGAAAGAGAGACAAACAGAGAGGCAGGGGAGGCAGAGAGAGCGAAAGCGAGAACCAAAGAGAUAGAGAGGGAGAAUGCUGUCGGUUGGCGGGGGAGGAGGCAGAAGAGAGAGACGAACAAGAUGAAAUAACAGCAGAUGGAAGAGGAUGGACUGCAGAGCAGAGCAAUACAACACACACGCACACACUGGGUUUCCCAUGGGGCGAAGACUCAAACUCUACAGCGACCAAAGAGCGGGGAUCGAACCCACGCUGAACUGCACAGCCCCGGCACUGUGAGAGACCGGGUCAGCUUGUUGAGUGAGUGUGAAUUCAUCUGUGCUGAUUUCUUUGGUCUUUACUCUUCUGUUAAAUUAAGACAUGAACAUUGAACAUCAUGUAUACCUAUGAUCUGUUUGUGAUUCUAUCACACACACAUAUUGACUGAAACCGCUUGACCCAAGCAGGGGUCACGGCGAGCCAGAGCCUAACCCGGCAACAUAGGACGCAAGGCUGGAGGGGGAGGGGACACACCCAGGACGGGACGCCAGUCCACUGCAAGGCACCCCAAGUGGGACUCGGACCCCAGACCCACCAGAGAGCAGGCGCAGGCCAAACCCAGUGCGCUAUCGCACCCCCAUGCCCCUGAUUGUAUCAAGUGUAUGUAAUUGAUAUGAAAGAACUAAAUGAGUGCAG
RNAcentral lists this long non-coding RNA (1026 nucleotides) under Scleropages formosus (Asian bonytongue). RNAcentral describes it as "lncRNA (ENSSFOG00015025241.1)". Lineage: Eukaryota; Metazoa; Chordata; Actinopteri; Osteoglossiformes; Osteoglossidae. The record is from RNAcentral.